CCUACGGAGGGCAGCAGUGGGGAAUAUUGGACAAUGGGGGGAACCCUGAUCCAGCCAUGCCGCGUGUGUGAAGAAGGCCCUCGGGUUGUAAAGCACUUUCAGUGAGGAAGAACGCCUGGUGGUUAAUACCCAUCAGGAAAGACAUCACUCACAGAAGAAGCACCGGCUAACUCCGUGCCAGCAGCCGCGGUAAUACGGAGGGUGCGAGCGUUAAUCGGAAUUACUGGGCGUAAAGCGCGCGUAGGUGGCUUGAUAAGCCGGUUGUGAAAGCCCCGGGCUCAACCUGGGAACGGCAUCCGGAACUGUCAAGCUAGAGUGCAGGAGAGGAAGGUAGAAUUCCCGGUGUAGCGGUGAAAUGCGUAGAGAUCGGGAGGAAUACCAGUGGCGAAGGCGGCCUUCUGGACUGACACUGACACUGAGGUGCGAAAGCGUGGGUAGCAAACAGGAUUAGAUACCCCAGUAGUC
This 465-nucleotide ribosomal RNA is filed under the name Vreelandella stevensii. RNAcentral's name for it is "partial 16S ribosomal RNA". It matches the Rfam family "Bacterial small subunit ribosomal RNA", at positions 338 to 795 of the family's 1533-position model. The record is from RNAcentral. Lineage: Bacteria; Pseudomonadati; Pseudomonadota; Gammaproteobacteria; Oceanospirillales; Halomonadaceae.